This 1745-nucleotide long non-coding RNA is filed under the name Triticum aestivum (bread wheat). Its description in RNAcentral is "long non-coding RNA (TAES_LNC022769)". Lineage: Eukaryota; Viridiplantae; Streptophyta; Magnoliopsida; Poales; Poaceae. The record is from RNAcentral.
GCCGAUGUAGAAGCUGCGGGAGAGGAGGGCUCUGACCUUGACGGAUGCCAUGCAAUGGAAGGUAGCUCUCUCUCUGUCCCCUCUUCUUCCUCUUUGUGCAAGUGAGCGACCCUGAUGAUCGAUCUACCCAGUUGGAUUACAUCUGCAACCUAUCAUUUACUACUUCUAAAGAAUAGCAUGAAUGCAUGAUUCAUCUCACUCUUAUGAUAUAUCUCAUUUUGUUUGAUAUUUGGUUUUUCAUGUGGUGUUUAUGAAACAUUUAUGCUAAUAAUGCAAAUGCUAACUAGUUGCCAUCCGGUUGAUUGCUUAUUUUAUUCAGGUCGGCAAGGAAGCCAGUGGGACGGAGGCGACGAACUCUGCUGCAGCCACGGCCGGCUGUGCUUCUGCCUUCGUGGUGGCCUAGGACUUGUGAUUGUGGUGUUGUGCUUUGACCAGUGGCAUGAUUUACACACUAUGGCAAUGUUAGGUUUAGGGAAAUAUGUAUUGUUGCACCUGAUUGAACCAGUUGACCAGUACAUUGCAGCUAGAACAAGAAAUAACUAUUUCUUUGCUGCCUCCCAGCCUUUCUGUUGAUAUUUUUAACACGAUUUUCUGAUAAUUGGAAACCAGCAACAAUUGCACUAAAAAUAUUAUAGUGAAACCAUAUUAUAUCUGAAAUAGUAAACAGAUUGACACAUCCGGAAGCUUAAAGCUAGUCAUGCUUUUUCAUUCAACUUUUUCCAUUGCAACUUGCAAGAUAGUAAAAUUUAUCCUAAUGUGUCUUGAUAUUGUUCAGCAAUUUACAAUAGCUUGUAUUUAUUUAGUUAUUGUCAGAAUAUAGUAUUAGUUUAUUAAAUUCGAAAAAUAGUAAGUAAUGCUCAGCUUCUUGCUUCUCAACCUUAAUUUGUGUAAUUUGUUCUGGCCAAUAACUAGAGACAUGACUUGUCUAAGGAUUAGUUUAUUAACUAAAGACAUCAGGUCGGUGGAUAACUAGAUACUUGAUAGUAUUAGAUCUUAAGGUUGUAUCUAGUUAUCUAGUUAUUUCUUACUCCUUUUUAACUAGUUUAGUAAAAAGCUGACUUUUCAAUUGACUUUCAAUUUGUGUAUCUAGAUUAAUAUGUCGUCAAGUGGGAGGUCUUCUUUCGAGCUGAUAGUACUGCAGUCCUUGCAGUGCGUGGAUUGAUGACACGACAACACCACAAGAACAAUUUUUUGAGUUCUCUUUUUAUCUUCUAAGUGUUUGUUUGAUUAGACAGUGUCACUUUUUGUUCUUCGUCUGUUUCUAGUGGCUUAGCAAUCAUUCAGUGGCCGUCCCUUGUUUCAUGUAAUUUAGUAGAUUUAUUUCCACCAUGCACAUUUCUUUUACUGCAGAACUGAACAGUGUAUGGUCUGAGAGUUUCAGUUCUUGUUUGCCAUGCAUGUAGCUGUGGUCCUAUCAUGGUUUCAGUGGACAAUUGCAUGGAAUGGUUCCUCUAGUUAGAGCAAUCCUUUCUUUUGCGUGAUAGUGCCUUUUUAAUAAACUAGUUAAAAAGGAGUAAGAAAUAACUAGAUAACUAGAUACAACCUUAAGAUCUGAUUUAUGUAAUACUAUCUAAUACACAAAUAUCUAGAUAGUGCCUUUUCAAUCUGAUUUAUGUAAUACUAUCUAGUACACAAAUAUCUAAUACACAAAUACCAAAAAGUCAAUUUGUGUAUUAGAUAGUGCCUUUUCAAUUUGUGUAAUUUGUUCUGGCCAAUAACUAGAGACAUGACUUCUCAACCUUAAU